RNAcentral lists this ribosomal RNA (499 nucleotides) under uncultured bacterium. Its description in RNAcentral is "partial 16S ribosomal RNA". It matches the Rfam family "Bacterial small subunit ribosomal RNA", at positions 28 to 507 of the family's 1533-position model. The record is from RNAcentral.
GACGAACGCUGGCGGCGUGCCUAAUACAUGCAAGUCGAGCGGACUUUCAAGAAGCUUGCUUUUUGAAAGUUAGCGGCGGACGGGUGAGUAACACGUGGGCAACCUGCCUGCAAGACGGGGAUAACUCCGGGAAACCGGGGCUAAUACCGGAUAAUACCUUCCUUCGCAUGAAGGAAGGUUGAAAGGCGGCGCAAGCUGCCGCUUGCAGAUGGGCCCGCGGCGCAUUAGCUAGUUGGUGAGGUAACGGCUCACCAAGGCGACGAUGCGUAGCCGACCUGAGAGGGUGAUCGGCCACACUGGGACUGAGACACGGCCCAGACUCCUACGGGAGGCAGCAGUAGGGAAUCUUCCGCAAUGGACGAAAGUCUGACGGAGCAACGCCGCGUGAGCGAAGAAGGUCUUCGGAUCGUAAAGCUCUGUUGUCAGGGAAGAACAAGUACCGUUCGAACAGGGCGGUACCUUGACGGUACCUGACCAGAAAGCCACGGCUAACUACGUG